AGUGAACGCUGGCGGUAGGCCUAACACAUGCAAGUCGAACGGCAGCACAGUAAGAGCUUGCUCUUACGGGUGGCGAGUGGCGGACGGGUGAGGAAUACAUCGGAAUCUACUUUUUCGUGGGGGAUAACGUAGGGAAACUUACGCUAAUACCGCAUACGACCUACGGGUGAAAGCAGGGGAUCUUCGGACCUUGCGCGAUUGAAUGAGCCGAUGUCGGAUCAGCUAGUUGGCGGGGUAAAGGCCCACCAAGGCGACGAUCCGUAGCUGGUCUGAGAGGAUGAUCAGCCACACUGGAACUGAGACACGGUCCAGACUCCUACGGGAGGCAGCAGUGGGGAAUAUUGGACAAAGGGCGCAAGCCUGAUCCAGCCAUACCGCGUGGGUGAAGAAGGCCUUCGGGUUGUAAAGCCCUUUUGUUGGGAAAGAAAAGCAGCAGGUUAAUACCCCGCUGUUCUGACGGUACCCAAAGAAUAAGCACCGGCUAACUUCGUG
RNAcentral lists this ribosomal RNA (492 nucleotides) under uncultured bacterium. RNAcentral's name for it is "partial 16S ribosomal RNA". It matches the Rfam family "Bacterial small subunit ribosomal RNA", at positions 29 to 507 of the family's 1533-position model. The record is from RNAcentral.